CGUCAGAAACAGGGGUGCUCUCGCGUUGACACGUCGGAUACGCAACGUAUCACUAAUGCGGUGUUUUGUCGAUACGGGCUUCGCGGUUGGAGCAUCGGUUAGGCCCAUCGUCACAGACCUCUACGGAAAACCCUAAACACAAUCUUCUACGAUCUUCUCCUUCGUGUUCUUCGUGCGUUGUCGAUCGGCACAGCGGCUGUCUGUAUCCUGUAACGGUUUUUGUUUUUAAUCAUCUUAAAUAUGCUGCGAUCUCACCGUGCGCUCUCUACGCUUUCGUAAUCUCACAACUUACUCAUCAUCUCUCUCAAUGGCUAUGACCAAUAGUGUGUGUUCUCUCUAACCCUAAUUCGGCUGCAGAGGAGAAACGAAGAACGUAUCUCCACUUCCUGCGACGGCGACCUGAUCACUUCUGACCAUCUGAAACUGUCUUUGUAUCUCUUAUACCUCUCGCCGAUGUGGUCUUGCUCGGAUCUCUCUUCGCAGACGCCUCGGUGGUUCUGUGGCCAGGACUGUAAAUCUUCAACGGGUCAUAAGAUUGUGAACUGGACCUGAUCAACAAAAGCUAAUCACAUGAGAUCUUUUGGUCAGGGUCAACAACUAUGGCAAGUGGAAUGUCUUUGCUUAUAAUUCCAUCAUAUAUUUUUAAAUUAAAACCUCAGAUUGGAGACAAACUACAAUUAUAAAUAGAACUUUUGGUUUGUCUUAUCCUUGUAGGCUUGGUUUGUAAACUUUUAUAAGAAUGUUGUUCAAGCAGAUGCGUAAUAAAAGUAUUCAGACGUUUGGAGUUGUGUAGGAAGCAUGUAGCUCAUAAUUCUUUUGUCUUCUAUAAAACAUUGCAAUAUAUGUCUCUUAAUUUGCUCUAGAUUAAUUAUUAUUUGGGUCUGAUUAAUAUUUAUUUCUUAGAUCUGGUGCAGUGUCCAUGAAACAGAGUUAGCAAAAGGAUGUUAGUUGCGACAUGAUAAAUUGAUAUUGUGAAGACGCUAUAAGGCAGAAUCUUAUUAAGCACUUGAAAAGGAGUCUCUUUGGCAGUCAGCCCACAGCAUGGUAUAUAUUCCUCCUUUUGCUUCAGAUGAGACUCAUAGCUUAUUGAAGUUAACAUGGUGUUGCUGGACGAUAAGUUUCAAGAGUAUAGUGACGGAAGGAUGAGUGUACGAGCUCAGUGUUGAUAAAUCCCAUGGCUUGCAUUUCUUCUUUAUAUAACUUUAUGUAAUCUUGAAGAGUUAUAUAUAAUAUGGUCAAGCCAUAUCGGAUGAGUGUACAAUGAGCAUAUAUUAUAUAAUAUGGUCAUGCCAAGAAGAACUUGAGUUUUGUUGGUUAAAAUAUUUAGGGUUAAAUUUAUUCAACUUGUGAAGCAUU
This is a long non-coding RNA of Raphanus sativus (radish), 1356 nucleotides long. RefSeq lists it as uncharacterized. The transcript has 5 exons. NCBI's taxonomy places the organism in Eukaryota, Viridiplantae, Streptophyta, Magnoliopsida, Brassicales, Brassicaceae. The record is from RefSeq and is a predicted model, not a curated record.